RNAcentral lists this ribosomal RNA (628 nucleotides) under Vibrio ichthyoenteri. Its description in RNAcentral is "partial 16S ribosomal RNA". Lineage: Bacteria; Pseudomonadati; Pseudomonadota; Gammaproteobacteria; Vibrionales; Vibrionaceae. The record is from RNAcentral.
GGUGUGUACAAGGCCCGGGAACGUAUUCACCGUGGCAUUCUGAUCCACGAUUACUAGCGAUUCCGACUUCAUGGAGUCGAGUUGCAGACUCCAAUCCGGACUACGACGCACUUUUUGGGAUUCGCUCACCAUCGCUGGUUGGCAGCCCUCUGUAUGCGCCAUUGUAGCACGUGUGUAGCCCUACUCGUAAGGGCCAUGAUGACUUGACGUCGUCCCCACCUUCCUCCGGUUUAUCACCGGCAGUCUCCCUGGAGUUCCCGACAUUACUCGCUGGCAAACAAGGAUAAGGGUUGCGCUCGUUGCGGGACUUAACCCAACAUUUCACAACACGAGCUGACGACAGCCAUGCAGCACCUGUCUCAGAGUUCCCGAAGGCACACCUGCGUCUCCGCUGGCUUCUCUGGAUGUCAAGAGUAGGUAAGGUUCUUCGCGUUGCAUCGAAUUAAACCACAUGCUCCACCGCUUGUGCGGGCCCCCGUCAAUUCAUUUGAGUUUUAAUCUUGCGACCGUACUCCCCAGGCGGUCUACUUAACGCGUUAGCUCCGAAAGCCACGGCUCAAGGCCACAACCUCCAAGUAGACAUCGUUUACGGCGUGGACUACCAGGGUAUCUAAUCCUGUUUGCUCCC